CUAAAGUAUAAGCCUACCUGC
This 21-nucleotide non-coding RNA is filed under the name Arabidopsis thaliana (thale cress). Lineage: Eukaryota; Viridiplantae; Streptophyta; Magnoliopsida; Brassicales; Brassicaceae. The record is from RNAcentral.